AUCCAGCUGAUGAGUCCCAAAUAGGACGAAGGGUGCGUUCUGGAU
RNAcentral lists this non-coding RNA (45 nucleotides) under Schistosoma haematobium. The record is from RNAcentral. Lineage: Eukaryota; Metazoa; Platyhelminthes; Trematoda; Strigeidida; Schistosomatidae.